This 1298-nucleotide long non-coding RNA is filed under the name Manacus vitellinus (golden-collared manakin). RNAcentral's name for it is "lncRNA (ENSMVIG00005000890.1)". Lineage: Eukaryota; Metazoa; Chordata; Aves; Passeriformes; Pipridae. The record is from RNAcentral.
CAGACUUGGUGCCUCCACAGAAUCUGGCAGGAUCCAUGGGGCACAUUCCUGCUGUGUCCAGGCCUCGGGCUUGUGGUGGUGGGAAUCAGCACCACGUGUUCCUACAGAGACCUGCAGGCACCAGAGCCUUGGGGUGCUGAUCUCAUCUUCUGCUUUCAGGCUGUUCGGGGAAUUAAUUCUGUUAUUCAGCGUCAACUGACUCCAAGACAGUUCCAGACUCCUGAGAGCCUGAAAUUAGGCUCUCAUGGAAAACAGGCUAAUGCAGGAGCAGGCAAUGCAAGCACAAGGCACAGCCAUAGUCCUGAAAUGCUUUUUCAGUGUAACUCUUUCACCCUCCCUCUUAAACUGUGUUUUCUCAGAGGUGAAAUGUCACUGAGGGUGUGUUUUUAUGUUUCUGCUGCACAUCAUCCUGGUCACCUCUUGCCUUGUCUUGGGCAAAAGCUCCCUCAGCUCCUUAUCAGUGUCUAGGCAGCAUCUUUACAUUGUGGUUAAUUCACUUCAUACUGUUUUCCUUUAUUUCUGGCAAAUGAAGAUGAAAUGUAAUUAUCUCAAAUGAAAUGAGCAGCUCAGUCUGGGGAACGGUGCUUAAACUGAGAAGAGAAGAAGUCAUUGUUCCUGCUCACAGAGAUAUCAGCAAAGCACCAACAAAUCCAUGUACUGACCCACCAAGUGGUUCCAUUCAGUUCAUGAACUCAAGUGUAGGAAGGAGCUGCAGCAGACACAGAGGGAGGACCAGCUCAGUCUCUUGGAUCAGCUGCACUGCCAUGGGCACUGGCUCACAGAGUCUGCUCUGCACCAGGCAUUGCCUUCCCUUGCCCUCCCUACAUCCUGACAAACUUCCACCUUUGGCAUCCUCGUUAAACUUAUUAAUUCUUCUAGAAGAGUAUUUUGAGACAUUUUCAGUAAAUAGAAAAAAAACAGGAUUCCAAAGGAGAGGCAAAUACCUGUCUCUUGUGGAGUUUUUUGUCUUGUUUUGUCCCUGUCUUUCCCACCUCUCCUCUCCACCCCCAGGCUGGGACACAAGGAGGAUUUGGGCCAUGGAGUCUGACACCAAACACACCCUGGGAAUGGGAAUCCUUGGUUUGGUUUGGUCUCUUGCAGCUGAAUGAGUGUCAUCAGACUCUUGACCAAGAGAUUGGAUUUGGAAUAGCUGGUGGUUUCAUACUAGAAUGCAAUAUCCAAGAGAUGCCUUAGAUUUUUACAUACAAAAGAUGUUUUGAAAUGCAGAAAACACUAAAUCUAACCGUGCAGGGGCAAGGUUGAUGCAGAAAAGCAAUAUGAUUCCAAAUAAUAUACUG